GAUGAACGCUGGCGGCGUGCCUAAUACAUGCCAGUCGAGCGAACGGACGAGAAGCUUGCUUCUCUGAUGUUAGCGGCGGACGGGUGAGUAACACGUGGAUAACCUACCUAUAAGACUGGGAUAACUUCGGGAAACCGGAGCUAAUACCGGAUAAUAUUUUGAACCGCAUGGUUCAAAAGUGAAAGACGGUCUUGCUGUCACUUAUAGAUGGAUCCGCGCUGCAUUAGCUAGUUGGUAAGGUAACGGCUUACCAAGGCAACGAUGCAUAGCCGACCUGAGAGGGUGAUCGGCCACACUGGAACUGAGACACGGUCCAGACUCCUACGGGAGGCAGCAGUAGGGAAUCUUCCGCAAUGGGCGAAAGCCUGACGGAGCAACGCCGCGUGAGUGAUGAAGGUCUUCGGAUCGUAAAACUCUGUUAUUAGGGAAGAGCAUAUGUGUAAGUAACUGUGCACAUCUUGACGGUACCUAAUCAGAAAGCCACGGCUAACUACGUG
RNAcentral lists this ribosomal RNA (497 nucleotides) under uncultured bacterium. RNAcentral describes it as "partial 16S ribosomal RNA". It matches the Rfam family "Bacterial small subunit ribosomal RNA", at positions 28 to 507 of the family's 1533-position model. The record is from RNAcentral.